Molecule: unclassified non-coding RNA, 348 nt
Filed under: soil metagenome
Description: partial contains 5.8S ribosomal RNA, internal transcribed spacer 2, and large subunit ribosomal RNA
Rfam family: 5.8S ribosomal RNA (bases 1-120)
Source: RNAcentral
GAUGAAGAACGCAGCGAAAUGGGAUAAGUAAUGUGAAUUGCAGAAUUCAGUGAAUCAUCGAAUCUUUGAACGCACAUUGCGCCCGCCAGUAUUCUGGCGGGCAUGCCUGUCUGAGCGUCAUUUCAACCCUCAUGCCCCUAGGGCGUGGUGUUGGGGAUCGGCCAAAGCCCGCGAGGGACGGCCGGCCCCUAAAUCUAGUGGCGGACCCGUCGUGGCCUCCUCUGCGAAGUAGUGAUAUUCCGCAUCGGAGAGCGACGAGCCCCUGCCGUUAAACCCCCAACUUUCCAAGGUUGACCUCAGAUAAGGUAGGAAUACCCGCUGAACUUAAGCAUAUCAAUAAGCGGAGGA